AUGUAAACAAAACAAGUUUUCGGUAAACCUAAUCCGUAAAAAAUACUAAAAAUCGCGAAAAGCUUCCCUGAAUCGAUUCCAUCGAAUUCCCUUAAUGUUUCCGGAACAAUUAACCAUAGGGGAGCAUUUGAAAGGCUGUUAUUCAUUUAGCCACGGGCGAGUGGAGUUUGGAAGCAACCGGAAAUUGCACACGGGUCGGUUCCACCAGGAUCUGCAUAAGUGUCCUGAAUCCGAAUGUGCUGUGAAACCAUGUCCUUGGAGAAACUCUGAGAUUUUGCCGAAACUCGAUCACUACAGUUCGACAUCAGACGGAAGGAUGACCGGAUGGUUGGAUAUAAUAGUUCUUAGUUGGUGUACAUGUUUUCGUCGGAGC
This is a long non-coding RNA of Uranotaenia lowii, 373 nucleotides long. RefSeq lists it as uncharacterized. Lineage: Eukaryota; Metazoa; Arthropoda; Insecta; Diptera; Culicidae. The transcript has 3 exons. The record is from RefSeq and is a predicted model, not a curated record.